This 349-nucleotide unclassified non-coding RNA is filed under the name Hevea brasiliensis (rubber tree). Lineage: Eukaryota; Viridiplantae; Streptophyta; Magnoliopsida; Malpighiales; Euphorbiaceae. The record is from RNAcentral.
AAAAAAGAGAGUGACUGAACAAAGCUUCACCAAAGAAAGACAAAGAGAGUUUUUAGCCCAUCUAUCACUAAACCCCAGAAAAAGAUAGCUUAGUCACAAACCCAAACUUCUGGAAAAGCAAAGGAAUCAAGCUAAAAGCAUCCCCCAGAAUCAAACCUUUGCUUUCAAAAAUCAAAUGCCCCUAACUUAAGGAGGGAAAGUCCCAAAGCAUUAACUUUAACAAAACCGUUCAAACACAAAAGACCAGAUACUAGUAUCAAAAGAAUUGAUUAAAAAAAUACAGAAUGGACCAGAUGAAACAAACCCUAAUUUUUACCUUUUUUUCAAGAUUCACACUCCAAAAUUGAGA